UUCUUAUUAGCUUAAUGGUAGAGCAUGGUACUUCUAACACCACGAUCUGAGUUCGAAUCUUAGAUAGGAAA
RNAcentral lists this transfer RNA (71 nucleotides) under Thelebolus microsporus. RNAcentral describes it as "tRNA-Arg". It matches the Rfam family "tRNA". Rfam says of the family: Transfer RNA (tRNA) molecules are approximately 80 nucleotides in length. Their secondary structure includes four short double-helical elements and three loops (D, anti-codon, and T loops). Lineage: Eukaryota; Fungi; Ascomycota; Leotiomycetes; Thelebolales; Thelebolaceae. The record is from RNAcentral.